GAAACCCUAACUACACACUCAUCUCCUCCGCCGGAAAAUCAGAUGCUCCGUUUAAUCGCCGGCGCGGAGGACAACACUACACCUUUACAACUCCGAACUACGAUUCCUUUUCAGAUUUGCAACUAAAAUCCUAACAAAACAAUCUCAAACCCUAGAAAUUUGACACUGAAAAACCUCAAAUUCAUUUUCUUCUUCGACAGCUUACCGAUGCCUCCGUCGUACCUUCAACCUAGACGACGGAGACUGGCGUAAAACGGUAAACCACAACAAAAGGCCAUAGAUAUGCUACUAAAUCAGACCAAAUUCGGUUUCUAUUACAGAAUCGGAGAAGAAGUGGAUUCAACAAAUAGAUCGAAAAUUUGGAAAAAAGACCACAAAUAUUUGGAAAAACUAACUGAUGAGAUUAGUGUCCUCACACAAAGUUCAUUUAUGGAAUAUUUUUCUCAAUUGCAUUCGGAAAUAUAGUUGAUAGACUCGAUUCAAGUUACCAACUUUGUGACUAUUGACAAAAAAUUUUUAGAACACUAUUAGGUUUCCUAUUUAGCAAAAUCAUUGCAUAAAUGAAGAUUUUAGUGAAUUUCAGAAUGUGUAUAAGGCUUCUGUUGAUAGUGCUGGGAAAUAAAGACUACAUAAUCAUCUACUUCAAAUAGAAAGUUAAUGGAGGUUAAACUAUUAUGCUUUUUAAUUAAAAAAAAAUACUUACACUUGUUUAAUGACAGGAAAAAAACUGAAAGACAAUGAAAUAUGCAAGAAGAAGAAGAAGGAAAAAACGAAGUAGCAGUCGUUCAUCAAGCCAAUCAGAGGAAAUGAUCCCAAUAGAUUGCAAAUAGAAGUGACAAAAAAGGCAAAUCAUUGAACAGAAAUUGUAAAAUGAGUUGCAGGAACUUCUUGAUCCAAAAUAUGAAUGAGAGAUAGCACUCAAGAUUUCACAGAUGAGUUGCAUCACGGCAAUGACAAAUACAGAAAAAGGAAAGAGAAGGAAAAGAAAAGCGGCCUCUCUCUCUUCACUCUACAAUCAUUAUAGAGAGAAGAUAACAUUGCAAGCAUAGGCGGCUACAAUACCUACUCUACUGCAUCAAGACAUCACCAUAUUAAAAAAAAGGAAUUAAUUGCAUUGGAAAGAGCUGAGAAGAUAAUCUGGAAGAAUAAAAAAUAUAUAUAUAUAUAUUGUGUAAUAUAGUAGUAGUAUUUUCUUACAAAAGCCUAUGCCAGUAUAAACACAUAGGCUGCACCCUACCCCCACACAAUUCUCGAUACAUACAAAGAAAACUGAUAUAAGUUCAACUGGACUUUACAAUAAGAUCACAAAUUUUAAGCUAAGAUGCU
Molecule: long non-coding RNA, 1326 nt
Organism: Salvia hispanica
Lineage: Eukaryota; Viridiplantae; Streptophyta; Magnoliopsida; Lamiales; Lamiaceae
Source: RefSeq, a predicted model, not a curated record